GAUGAACGCUGGCGGCGUGCCUAAUACAUGCAAGUCGAGCGAACAGACGAGGAGCUUGCUCCUUUGACGUUAGCGGCGGACGGGUGAGUAACACGUGGGUAACCUACCUAUAAGACUGGGAUAACUUCGGGAAACCGGAGCUAAUACCGGAUAAUAUUUCGAACCGCAUGGUUCGAUAGUGAAAGAUGGCUUUGCUAUCACUUAUAGAUGGACCUGCGCCGUAUUAGCUAGUUGGUAAGGUAACGGCUUACCAAGGCAACGAUACGUAGCCGACCUGAGAGAGUGAUCGGCCACACUGGAACUGAGACACGGUCCAGACUCCUACGGCAGGCAGCAGUAGGGAAUCUUCCGCAAUGGGCGAAAGCCUGACGGAGCAACGCCGCGUGAGUGAUGAAGGUCUUCGGAUCGUAAAACUCUGUUAUUAGGGAAGAACAAACGUGUAAGUAACUGUGCACGUCUUGACGGUACCUAAUCAGAAAGCCACGGCUAACUACGUG
This 497-nucleotide ribosomal RNA is filed under the name uncultured bacterium. Its description in RNAcentral is "partial 16S ribosomal RNA". It matches the Rfam family "Bacterial small subunit ribosomal RNA", at positions 28 to 507 of the family's 1533-position model. The record is from RNAcentral.